GCGGACGGCCGGAUGGUCGCGCCCCGUGUCCGGAGACGGCCGGGGCGAGGAAAGUCCGGGCUCCACGGAGACACGGUGCCGGGUAACGCCCGGCGGGGGCAACCCCAGGGAAAGCGCCACAGAGAACAGUCCGCCGGGCGUCGGUCCGGCAAGGGUGAAACGGUGGGGUAAGAGCCCACCGCGCCUCCGCGUGAGCGGGGCGGCACGGCAAACCCCGUCCGGAGCAAGGCCACAUAGGGGAGGAUGCGGUGGCUCGCCGCGCUCGACUCCCGGGUAGGCCGCUCAGAUCGAUGGCCGUCCUCUCGGUCCCUCUCCGGAGGGGUGGGGAGACAGAACCCGGCUUAUAGUCCACCCGCCUCC
This 360-nucleotide RNase P RNA is filed under the name Gemmatimonadota bacterium. Its description in RNAcentral is "Gemmatimonadetes bacterium (soil metagenome) RNase P RNA component class A". It matches the Rfam family "Bacterial RNase P class A". From Rfam's summary of the family: Ribonuclease P (RNase P) is a ubiquitous endoribonuclease, found in archaea, bacteria and eukarya as well as chloroplasts and mitochondria. Its best characterised activity is the generation of mature 5'-ends of tRNAs by cleaving the 5'-leader elements of precursor-tRNAs. Lineage: Bacteria; Pseudomonadati; Gemmatimonadota. The record is from RNAcentral.